This 2922-nucleotide ribosomal RNA is filed under the name Staphylococcus aureus. Its description in RNAcentral is "bacterial LSU rRNA". It matches the Rfam family "Bacterial large subunit ribosomal RNA". Lineage: Bacteria; Bacillati; Bacillota; Bacilli; Caryophanales; Staphylococcaceae. The record is from RNAcentral.
UUAAGUUAUUAAGGGCGCACGGUGGAUGCCUUGGCACUAGAAGCCGAUGAAGGACGUUACUAACGACGAUAUGCUUUGGGGAGCUGUAAGUAAGCUUUGAUCCAGAGAUUUCCGAAUGGGGAAACCCAGCAUGAGUUAUGUCAUGUUAUCGAUAUGUGAAUACAUAGCAUGUCAGAAGGCACACCCGGAGAACUGAAACAUCUUAGUACCCGGAGGAAGAGAAAGAAAAUUCGAUUCCCUUAGUAGCGGCGAGCGAAACGGGAAGAGCCCAAACCAACAAGCUUGCUUGUUGGGGUUGUAGGACACUCUAUACGGAGUUACAAAGGACGACAUUAGACGAAUCAUCUGGAAAGAUGAAUCAAAGAAGGUAAUAAUCCUGUAGUCGAAAAUGUUGUCUCUCUUGAGUGGAUCCUGAGUACGACGGAGCACGUGAAAUUCCGUCGGAAUCUGGGAGGACCAUCUCCUAAGGCUAAAUACUCUCUAGUGACCGAUAGUGAACCAGUACCGUGAGGGAAAGGUGAAAAGCACCCCGGAAGGGGAGUGAAAUAGAACCUGAAACCGUGUGCUUACAAGUAGUCAGAGCCCGUUAAUGGGUGAUGGCGUGCCUUUUGUAGAAUGAACCGGCGAGUUACGAUUUGAUGCAAGGUUAAGCAGUAAAUGUGGAGCCGUAGCGAAAGCGAGUCUGAAUAGGGCGUUUAGUAUUUGGUCGUAGACCCGAAACCAGGUGAUCUACCCUUGGUCAGGUUGAAGUUCAGGUAACACUGAAUGGAGGACCGAACCGACUUACGUUGAAAAGUGAGCGGAUGAACUGAGGGUAGCGGAGAAAUUCCAAUCGAACCUGGAGAUAGCUGGUUCUCUCCGAAAUAGCUUUAGGGCUAGCCUCAAGUGAUGAUUAUUGGAGGUAGAGCACUGUUUGGACGAGGGGCCCCUCUCGGGUUACCGAAUUCAGACAAACUCCGAAUGCCAAUUAAUUUAACUUGGGAGUCAGAACAUGGGUGAUAAGGUCCGUGUUCGAAAGGGAAACAGCCCAGACCACCAGCUAAGGUCCCAAAAUAUAUGUUAAGUGGAAAAGGAUGUGGCGUUGCCCAGACAACUAGGAUGUUGGCUUAGAAGCAGCCAUCAUUUAAAGAGUGCGUAAUAGCUCACUAGUCGAGUGACACUGCGCCGAAAAUGUACCGGGGCUAAACAUAUUACCGAAGCUGUGGAUUGUCCUUUGGACAAUGGUAGGAGAGCGUUCUAAGGGCGUUGAAGCAUGAUCGUAAGGACAUGUGGAGCGCUUAGAAGUGAGAAUGCCGGUGUGAGUAGCGAAAGACGGGUGAGAAUCCCGUCCACCGAUUGACUAAGGUUUCCAGAGGAAGGCUCGUCCGCUCUGGGUUAGUCGGGUCCUAAGCUGAGGCCGACAGGCGUAGGCGAUGGAUAACAGGUUGAUAUUCCUGUACCACCUAUAAUCGUUUUAAUCGAUGGGGGGGACGCAGUAGGAUAGGCGAAGCGUGCGAUUGGAUUGCACGUCUAAGCAGUAAGGCUGAGUAUUAGGCAAAUCCGGUACUCGUUAAGGCUGAGCUGUGAUGGGGAGAAGACAUUGUGUCUUCGAGUCGUUGAUUUCACACUGCCGAGAAAAGCCUCUAGAUAGAAAAUAGGUGCCCGUACCGCAAACCGACACAGGUAGUCAAGAUGAGAAUUCUAAGGUGAGCGAGCGAACUCUCGUUAAGGAACUCGGCAAAAUGACCCCGUAACUUCGGGAGAAGGGGUGCUCUUUAGGGUUAACGCCCAGAAGAGCCGCAGUGAAUAGGCCCAAGCGACUGUUUAUCAAAAACACAGGUCUCUGCUAAACCGUAAGGUGAUGUAUAGGGGCUGACGCCUGCCCGGUGCUGGAAGGUUAAGAGGAGUGGUUAGCUUCUGCGAAGCUACGAAUCGAAGCCCCAGUAAACGGCGGCCGUAACUAUAACGGUCCUAAGGUAGCGAAAUUCCUUGUCGGGUAAGUUCCGACCCGCACGAAAGGCGUAACGAUUUGGGCACUGUCUCAACGAGAGACCCGGUGAAAUCAUAGUACCUGUGAAGAUGCAGGUUACCCGCGACAGGACGGAAAGACCCCGUGGAGCUUUACUGUAGCCUGAUAUUGAAAUUCGGCACAGCUUGUACAGGAUAGGUAGGAGCCUUUGAAACGUGAGCGCUAGCUUACGUGGAGGCGCUGGUGGGAUACUACCCUAGCUGUGUUGGCUUUCUAACCCGCACCACUUAUCGUGGUGGGAGACAGUGUCAGGCGGGCAGUUUGACUGGGGCGGUCGCCUCCUAAAAGGUAACGGAGGCGCUCAAAGGUUCCCUCAGAAUGGUUGGAAAUCAUUCAUAGAGUGUAAAGGCAUAAGGGAGCUUGACUGCGAGACCUACAAGUCGAGCAGGGUCGAAAGACGGACUUAGUGAUCCGGUGGUUCCGCAUGGAAGGGCCAUCGCUCAACGGAUAAAAGCUACCCCGGGGAUAACAGGCUUAUCUCCCCCAAGAGUUCACAUCGACGGGGAGGUUUGGCACCUCGAUGUCGGCUCAUCGCAUCCUGGGGCUGUAGUCGGUCCCAAGGGUUGGGCUGUUCGCCCAUUAAAGCGGUACGCGAGCUGGGUUCAGAACGUCGUGAGACAGUUCGGUCCCUAUCCGUCGUGGGCGUAGGAAAUUUGAGAGGAGCUGUCCUUAGUACGAGAGGACCGGGAUGGACAUACCUCUGGUGUACCAGUUGUCGUGCCAACGGCAUAGCUGGGUAGCUAUGUGUGGACGGGAUAAGUGCUGAAAGCAUCUAAGCAUGAAGCCCCCCUCAAGAUGAGAUUUCCCAACUUCGGUUAUAAGAUCCCUCAAAGAUGAUGAGGUUAAUAGGUUCGAGGUGGAAGCAUGGUGACAUGUGGAGCUGACGAAUACUAAUCGAUCGAAGACUUAAUCAA